Molecule: long non-coding RNA, 691 nt
Organism: Oncorhynchus tshawytscha (Chinook salmon)
Lineage: Eukaryota; Metazoa; Chordata; Actinopteri; Salmoniformes; Salmonidae
Source: Ensembl
AGAGUACAGUAAAGGGGAAGAGAGGACAGUAGAGGUGAAGAGAGGACAGUAAAGGGGAAGAGAGGACAGUAGAGGACAGUAUUGGUGAAGAGAGGACAGUAGAGGACAGUAGAGGUGAAGAGAGGACAGUAGAGGACAGUAGAGGACAGUAGAGGACGGUAGAGGACAGUAGAGGUGAAGAGAGGACAGUAGAGUACAGUAGAGGACAGUAGAGUUGAAGAGAGGACAGUAGAGGACAGUAGAGGACAGUAGAGGACAGUAGAGGACAGUAGAGGUGAAGAGAGGACAGUAGAGGUGAAGAGAAGACAGUAGAGGACAGUAGAGGUGAAGAGAAGACAGUAGAGGUGAAGAGAGGACAGUAGAGGUGAAGAGAGGACAGUGGAGGACAGCAGAGGUGAAGAGAGGACAGUAGAGGUGAAGAGAGGACAGUAGAGGACAGUAGAGGUGAAGAGAGGACAGUAAAGGACAGUAGAGGUGAAGAGAGGACUGUAGAGGACAGUAGAGGUGAAGAGAGGACAGUAGAGUACAGUAGAGGACAGUAGAGGUGAAGAGAGGACAGUAGAGGUGAAGAGAGGACAGUAGAGGUGAAGAGAAGACAGUAGAGGUGAAGAGAGGACAGUAGAGGACAGUAGAGGACAGUAGAGGUGAAGAGAGGACAGUAGAGGUGAAUAGAAGACAGUAGAGGACAGUA